RNAcentral lists this ribosomal RNA (253 nucleotides) under uncultured bacterium. RNAcentral describes it as "partial 16S ribosomal RNA". It matches the Rfam family "Bacterial small subunit ribosomal RNA", at positions 524 to 776 of the family's 1533-position model. The record is from RNAcentral.
UACGAAGGGGGCUAGCGUUGUUCGGAAUUACUGGGCGUAAAGCGCACGCAGGCGGCGAUUUAAGUCAGGGGUGAAAGCCUGGGGCUCAACCCCAGAACUGCCCUUGAGACUGGAUGGCUGGAGUGCGGGAGAGGUGAGUGGAAUUCCCAGUGUAGAGGUGAAAUUCGUAGAUAUUGGGAAGAACACCCGUGGCGAAGGCGGCUCACUGGCCCGUUACUGACGCUCAGGCACGAUAGCGUGGGGAGCAAACAGG